UACAAAGCAGCUCUGCAAAUUGUUCACAGGAAGAAGCUGGUGUUUACUGACCAUCCCGAAUUGCGUCUAGGAAGUGAAACAAGGGCAAGGCUUACACAAUACCACCUGACCUGCCGAGUGUUUCUGCAAUUUUCUGUUUUUAAAUCACCA
Molecule: long non-coding RNA, 150 nt
Organism: Pristis pectinata (smalltooth sawfish)
Lineage: Eukaryota; Metazoa; Chordata; Chondrichthyes; Rhinopristiformes; Pristidae
Exons: 3
Source: RefSeq, a predicted model, not a curated record